Molecule: RNA transcript, 1313 nt
Organism: Girardinichthys multiradiatus
Lineage: Eukaryota; Metazoa; Chordata; Actinopteri; Cyprinodontiformes; Goodeidae
Exons: 6
Source: RefSeq, a predicted model, not a curated record
AUGAGGAUCAUAAAACUCAGCUCUGAAACCUUCGUUUCUGUGUAACUGUCGAAUAAAUUAAACUCCCACUGAGACAGGAACAGCGAUGCUCUCUAGGCUCACACAGGACGUGUUGUGCCUGCAUCAAACCACUAUUAUCUCUGUUUGUGCAGGGAUGUGCAUUUUGCAUUGUGUAAUGGUGAGGAAAGUCACUAUUAGUGUAUAUGUGGCUGUGAAUUUUUGCACACAGGCAUAAAUUGUCACAGCUGGUAUGGCGGAGGACCCCAGAAGACAAGCAGGAAGCAACGUGGCAUGCUGAUCUCCUAGAAGGAUGGAGCUGUACAUGCUGUGCUGCUCUCCCACCUGCAUGUCAUCAACUAAGCAAGCCACAGUAUAAAAAGACCAGGAGAGUUCCCAAUUGAUACCAGAUUGUUCAUCUUGGUUGCAGUAGUGCCCCUCCUUGAUGGUAUGCUUCUAUUCCGGUGUCAUGCAAACAUGUCUUCACCUACAAUGAGUUAUGCAGCUGACGGCCUGGUGAUCAGUGUGUGAGAAACUGUGUAAAAUAGGAUUACAAUGACCCUGACUCGUGAGGCCCACUGCCUCAUUUGCUACAAAGUCUCUGCAGCUAUGUCUGACUACAUGAGAAAGUCACACUUCAUUAAUGAUCUUCAGGAGAGGAGGAUGCUGCUCAACUUCUCUUCAGGACAUGUAAAUGAGCACAACAGCCCUGGGUGCACCUACAAAACUGGGUGCCUUGACCAACAUAAGCAGUUUGCCCAUCCUGACCUCUCUGCUGACCUGAGGGAGAGUUACAUGCAGUCAGACAGAAAAGCCAAGACUGUCUCCAUGCUCCAGGAUCUCAGGAAAACAGAGCCUUCUCUUCCCAUGGUCUCUGGUCUUGAUAAUGAUGAUAAAGGCAAUGCCAUCAUUUUCAGAAGGGUGAGCAGGAACCCUAGAAGAGCACAAGCAACACGUACGAGUGGUCCUCCAGAGACUCCUUGAGAACAGUCUCUUUGUAAAAGCAGAAAAAUGUCGUGUGGAUCACAACUCCGGAUUCACUUCCUUCACCUUCGGAGAAAAAAACCCUGAAACCCAGCUACCAGCUGCAUCUGCAAGCUCCAACUAUCCUCCAGCCUGCCCUCUCUCCAACUUUACUGGAAGAACACCUUCUGACCCUCCGGAUCGCUGCCUACGGAUUGUGUCCCAAGAACCCCCCCUUAGAUCAUCUACCUGGAGAUCACAAGCAAGAAAGUCUAGACGACCAGAGAACGCAUUCUUUGGGAGAAUUAAAAUGACAGUUUUUCCUCUUGAGAUAAUUAAACUUUUGAAACUUA